RNAcentral lists this ribosomal RNA (497 nucleotides) under uncultured bacterium. Its description in RNAcentral is "partial 16S ribosomal RNA". It matches the Rfam family "Bacterial small subunit ribosomal RNA", at positions 28 to 507 of the family's 1533-position model. The record is from RNAcentral.
GACGAACGCUGGCGGCGUGCCUAAUACAUGCAAGUUGAGCGCUGAAGGUUGGUACUUGUACCAACUGGAUGAGCAGCGAACGGGUGAGUAACGCGUGGGGAAUCUGCCUUUGAGCGGGGGACAACAUUUGGAAACGAAUGCUAAUACCGCAUAAAAACUUUAAACACAAGUUUUAAGUUUGAAAGAUGCAAUUGCAUCACUCAAAGAUGAUCCCGCGUUGUAUUAGCUAGUUGGUGAGGUAAAGGCUCACCAAGGCGAGGAUACAUAGCCGACCGGAGAGGGUGAUCGGCGACAUUGGGACGGAGACACGGCCCAAACGCCUACGGGAGGCAGCAGUAGGGAAUCUUCGGCAAUGGACGAAAGUCUGACCGAGCAACGCCGCGUGAGUGAAGAAGGUUUUCGGAUCGUAAAACUCUGUUGGUAGAGAAGAACGUUGGUGAGAGUGGAAAGCGCAUCAAGUGACGGUAACUACCCAGAAAGGGACGGCUAACUACGUG